CUGUUCGGGGAUCGCCCCCCGUCAGCGCGGAUGCGCCCACGGGGGCCAUACUG
Molecule: non-coding RNA, 53 nt
Organism: Paracoccus solventivorans
Lineage: Bacteria; Pseudomonadati; Pseudomonadota; Alphaproteobacteria; Rhodobacterales; Paracoccaceae
Source: Rfam